CUGGUUUCUGCAGCACAUAUAAUAAAAUUAGAGUAAUAUAGAGAAGAUUAGCAUGACCCCUAUACAAGGAUAACACACAAAUUUGUGAAGAGUUCCAUAUAUUG
This is a non-coding RNA of Otolemur garnettii (small-eared galago), 104 nucleotides long. The record is from Rfam. NCBI's taxonomy places the organism in Eukaryota, Metazoa, Chordata, Mammalia, Primates, Galagidae.